CCUACGGGUGGCAGCAGUGAGGAAUAUUGGUCAAUGGACGAGAGUCUGAACCAGCCAAGUCGCGUGAAGGACGACUGCCCUAUGGGUUGUAAACUUCUUUUAUAUGGGAAUAAAAUGUUCCACGUGUGGGCUUUUGUAUGUACCAUAUGAAUAAGGCUCGGCUAACUCCGUUCCAGCAGCCGCGGUAAUACGGAGGAUCCGAGCGUUAUCCGGAUUUAUUGGGUUUAAAGGGAGCGGAGGGGGAUUGUUAAGUCAGUUGUGAAAGUUUGGGGCUCAACCGUGAAAUUGCAGUUGAAACUGGCAGUCUUGAGUAAAGUAGAGGUGGGCGGAAUGCGUGGUGUAGCGGUGAAAUGCUUAGAUAUCACGAAGAACUCCGAUUGCGAAGGCAGCUCACUGGACUGCAACUGACACUGAGGCACGAAAGUGUGGGUAUCAAACAGGAUUAGAUACCCUUGUAGUC
Molecule: ribosomal RNA, 460 nt
Filed under: uncultured bacterium
Lineage: Bacteria
Description: partial 16S ribosomal RNA
Rfam family: Bacterial small subunit ribosomal RNA
Source: RNAcentral